Molecule: ribosomal RNA, 497 nt
Filed under: uncultured bacterium
Lineage: Bacteria
Description: partial 16S ribosomal RNA
Rfam family: Bacterial small subunit ribosomal RNA
Source: RNAcentral
GAUGAACGCUGGCGGCGUGCCUAAUACAUGCAAGUCGAGCGAACAGCCGUGGUGCUUGCUCCUCUGCCGUUAGCGGCGGACGGGUGAGUAACACGUGCAUAACCUACCUUUAAGACUGGGAUAACUUCGGGACACCGGAGCCCAUAUCGGAUAAUAUAUUGAACCGCAUGGCCCAAUAGUGAAAGACGGUUUUGCUGUCACUUAUAGCUGGUUCCGCGCUGCAUUAGCUAGUUGGUAAGGUAACGGCUUACCAAGGCAACGAUGCGUAGCCGACCAGGAAAGGUGAGGGAGCAGACUGGAACUGGGGCACGGUCCAAAGGCGAACGAGAGACGGCAGUAAGGAAUCUGCCAGGAUGGGGGGGAGACUAACGGAGCAACGCGGCAUGAGUGAUGAAGGACUUCGGAGCGUAAGACGCAGGUAUUAGGAAAGAACAAAGGUGUAAGUAAGGAAGCACAAAAUGACGGUACCUGAACAAAAAGCCACGGCUAACUACGUG